CAGUUGGUUAGAGCGCGCGCUUGAUAAGCGUGAGGUCGGAGGUUCAAGUCCUCCCAGGCCCACCACUUCCUUUCGACACGAAGGUUAUCAGGGGCCGUAGCUCAGCUGGGAGAGCGCCUGCUUUGCAAGCAGGAUGUCGUCGGUUCGAUCCCGUCCGGCUCCACCAUUCUUUUGUCCCUGUGGGGCGAAGAGGUGUCGAGCGGAGGUAGGAGAGAAAGUCAUUCGUAUAAAGAUUUGUGGUGGGCAUCUAGCUCGCCGCUUGUUCUGUUUGACAUUGUAAAGAGAAGAUUUGUUCGAACUUCAUGGAUCGCAAGGUUCAUGAUUUGUCGCGGGAGACGCUCAAUCUCCCGCAUAUGAUGGGUUUGCCUAACCGCGCCCUCGAACCGAUCUCGAGAAGCUGGUCUUUUUGUGCCAAUGACAUCGAAUUGGAUCCCGCACAGGAUCUGGUUCAGGUGCAAUCCUUUGGAUUGCGCGGACGCUGAACUUGCAAGGGUUUGGCUGAAGCGGCAAUCCCUUUGGGAUUGCGCGGGUGAGCAUUGGCAAUGAGAACGAUCAAGUGUCUUAAGGGCAAUUGGUGGAUGCCUUGGCAUGCACAGGCGAUGAAGGACGUGAUACGCUGCGAUAAGCUACGU
Molecule: transfer RNA, 632 nt
Filed under: Mesorhizobium opportunistum
Lineage: Bacteria; Pseudomonadati; Pseudomonadota; Alphaproteobacteria; Hyphomicrobiales; Phyllobacteriaceae
Description: partial contains 16S-23S ribosomal RNA intergenic spacer and 23S ribosomal RNA
Rfam family: tRNA (bases 91-163)
Source: RNAcentral